This 873-nucleotide long non-coding RNA is filed under the name Astyanax mexicanus (Mexican tetra). Its description in RNAcentral is "lncRNA (ENSAMXG00005017907.1)". The record is from RNAcentral. Lineage: Eukaryota; Metazoa; Chordata; Actinopteri; Characiformes; Acestrorhamphidae.
AUUGGAACACAAUUGGACCCUCAUCCAUCCCAGCUAAUGAGUCUACAACAGUAGCACACAAUUCCACAAUUGGACCAUCACCCACCUCAGCUAAUGCCUCUAAACUAACAGAGAAUUCCACAUAUGGACCUUCACCCACCCCAGCUAAUGAAUCUAAACCAGCAGAGAAUUCCACAUCUGGACCCUCACCCCCCCCAGCUAAUGUAUCUAAGCCAGCAGAGAAUUUCACAAUUGGACCUUUACCCACUCCAGUGAAUUCCACAGUAGGACCAUCACCCACCCCAGCUAAUGAACCUAAAGCAGCAGAGAAUUCCACAGUUGGACCCUCAAUCACCCCAGCUAAUGAAUUUAAACCAGAGAAUUCCACAGUUAGACCAUCAACCACUCCAGCUAAUGAAUCUAAACCAGCAGAAAAUUCCACAGUUGCCCCCUCACCCACCCCAGCUAAUGAAUCUAAACCAGAGAAUUCAACAGUUAGACCAUCAACCACUCCAGCUAAUGAAUCUAAACCAGCAGGGAAUUCCACAGUUGAACCUUCACCCACCCCAGUUACUGAAUCUAAACCAGCAGAGAAUUCCACAAUAGGACCCUCACCCACCCCAGCUAAUGAAUCUAAACCAGCAGAGAAUUUCACAGUUAAACCUUCACCCACCCCAGUUACUGAAUCUAAACCAGCAGAAAAUUCCACAGUUGUUCCCUCUCCCACCACAGCUAAUGAAUCUAAACCAGCAGAGAAUUCCACAGUUGGAGCCUCAUCCAUCCCAGCUAAUGAGUCUACAACAGUAGAGAAUUCCAGAGUUGGACCCUCAGCCACCCCAGCUAAUGAUUCUAAUUCAGUAGAGAAUUCCACAGCUGAUCCCUUACCCAUCCCAG